Molecule: long non-coding RNA, 5985 nt
Organism: Alligator mississippiensis (American alligator)
Lineage: Eukaryota; Metazoa; Chordata; Crocodylia; Alligatoridae
Exons: 6
Source: RefSeq, a predicted model, not a curated record
GCGGAGCUCCGUCCCAGGGGGCGUGGCCUAGGCGGGGUGGGCGGGACCCGCUGUGCGGGCGCGGAGGAGCGCGGCGCUCCGGCCGGGGGCAGCGGCGGGGGGAGGCGCAGCGCAGCUCCGGGCUCGGGCAGGGGCUCGAGAUGCGCCCGGGGAGGCAGCGCGGAGCCCCGGGGCCGCCUUCUCCUUCCCUCCGGACCCUAGUCCCAAGACGGCCGGGGACCCCGGUCCUCUGCGCCUCCGGGUGCUUAGUGUUACCUUUUACACGUGGCUAUUCACUAAUUAUCCCCAGAGUUAUUUCAGCUGUGCCCAGAGAGCACAUGAUGGGGCAAUGGCCCCCUCCCCUCCUUCCCUUGCAACCACAUAACCGGCCUUCCUAAUGGCUAGAGGCAAGAAGGGGAUUGCUGCUGGGUCCUGCUCAGUCAUCAGAGACAAGAUUGGCUCGUGGCUGGUCUGUCUGUCCCCUGGACCUCCUGCCGCCCGAGAGCAGAGGAGGGCUCUUCUCCCUGCCCUCCAUGCAGCUACAGCCAGGUAGCUCUUUCCCUCUGUGAACUGGGUGCUGGGAGUGGUGCUCCAGUGGUGCAGAAAAUGCCAUCCCCUGCCUUUGUAGCAUGACUUGAAACCAAAAGUCCCAUGGAAGCCAGUGACGGCGAACCUUUAUGGGGUUUUAUUUUCUUUUUUCCAAUCCUCUUCCUUUUACAACAAGGUGUCUGUGAAACGGCAUCUUGACAUUUUCUCUUAACUUUUUAAUCCUGAGCCAUUUUGGUUGUGGCCAGCUUCAAGGCACUCAUGCUUACAAAAUCAAAUGGAGAUGCGCAGAACUGAGACCGGUUUUCCUGUAGAUUGUCUGAAGAGGCUUCAUCUUUUGUUAAGUGCACUGACGGCGUCUGUCUUGGGGCAGUGGAUUGUUCUUGGUGCUGUGUAUUGAGCUGGUCCCUGAGGGAAUCAUGAUUAAUUGGUUACUGGUAACAGCCAGGCCUGCAGUGAUCCCAGGUCCCAUGCCUCAAAACAGCCACAGUUGCACAAGCACCCAUGUCACAAGUUUUGCCUGUCAGCAGCCAGAGGUGCAGGCCCCCGUGCCCAGAAGCCCUGCACCGAUCUCCUCGACAGCUGGCAGGCUUCGUGGCCGCAGCGGGGGCCACCAUCGCUGCAGUUUUCAGCCCGCUGCACCUUAACACACACACUGUCACCCAUGGCAUGAGUUUUGCCUGUCAGCAGCUCGAGGUGCAGUUCCCCCCGAAACCCUGCACCAAUUGUCUUGAAAUGUGGCAGGCUUCAUGGCCUCAGCAAGGCUACCAGCCCUGCAGUUUUCACCCCGCUGUGGCAUAACACAUACACGUGACAUGAGUUUUGCUUCCAAGAAUGUGGGGUGCAGUUCCCCUGAGCCCCUGCACCGAUCUUCUUGAAACGUGGCAGGCUUCAUGCUCUCAACAGGGGCUACCACCACUGCAAGUUUCACCCAAAUCAGACAAAAAACAACAAAGCUGUCGAUAUUUCAUUGAUUCCCCAUUAUACCCUAUGGCCGGAUCUCCGAGGUGGCUCCAAAGCUUCCUCCUCACCCAGGCCGACUCGUGACUACAAUGGACUGCAGAACCCAGAUCUACUCUAAGCAGGAUUACCUCUAACGUCACAUCCACAGCUGCCCCAUUCAGGCCAUGGAAAGCUGUCUGUGCACCAGGCAAGGCAGGACUGGUGCUGGGACAGUUGGCUGUGCCGACCUCAGAGAAUGGGAGAGCUUUGCAUCUCCCUGGGUGAUUAUAGGAUCGUAUUUCUGAAGACACAUGUACUUUUGGGGCAUCCAGAAGCAAAGACACACAUUUUAAUGGGAUGGAAAGUGGGUCAAACCUGUUUCAAAGGAAGUGUAGAGAGAGUGUCUGAUCUUAUGGGGAAGGGAUGUUGACUGUCAGCACGAAGACUUCUUACAUGAGCUCUGUACAAUGGGAAACAGCAACAGAGAAGAGGUGGUGGGAGGUAGCCAGCAAUAUCAGUGACAUUUAGGAGGCAGCAGUGCAGUACUUGGAGGUACCAAGUAGUUAUUUCAUCUCGGUGAGCAAUUUUAAUUCAUUUUCAGCAAAAUCUUAAAAACUUGAAGACCUGGACUUCUUCAGCUGUGCCAUCACAAACCUGAAGGAUUACAGGGAAAGGAUUUUUGAGCUGCUUCAGGAGAUCACCUACCUAGAUUGAUUUGAUCAGGAAGAAGGGGAUGAGGAGGAUGAAGCAGAUGAAGAUGAAGCUGGUCCACCAGGAGAGUACAAAGAAGAUGAAGAUGAAGAUGAUGGAGGUUCAGAUUUGGGGGAGGGUGAAGAGGAAGAAGAAGCUGGCCUUUCAUACCUGAUGAUGGACAAGAUCCAGAUUGAACCCACAAAUCAUCUGUGCAUUGAGUCAAUUGAUACCUUGGGUGAUGCUGUCAGCACGUACAUGGAGCGGUGAUCAACGUGAGCCAUGAUGCACGACUGAUCACGCAGACCAGCUGCCAGCUCUGGGUGGUGGAGGAGCAGUCCAUCAGCCACAUCAACGGCGACUUCGACUGCAAGUGGGAGGUGCUGGAGGCCUCGGGCCAGGUCAGCAUUAACUGGUCUCGAGAGUGACCUUGCUCUGGGGAGGCUCCUCGAGGACCUGCUCAUCUCCUCUCAGAGACCUGCCUGCACAGCUUCACGAGCACCCACACCCAAAGGCCUCCGUGUAGAGGGGGCAGGGCCGCAGGCAUGGUUGUGGGUUGAACUUUGAAGAUGUGUUUUGGGGGCCUAAUGCAAGACCUGUUUAUUUUUAGAGCUGUUCUUCUACAUCUGCUGCUUUCCCAGGAGAGAGAGACUUAAUUUAUAUGAAUGGGAGGGAGGGGGUUGUACUGGAAUGGUCUAUUUUAGGCAGGAGUGAGGACUAUCCUUGUCCCAUUGCUGGGUUCCCUGUCCCCCAGUCUGGAGAAUGGCUUGAGCCUUGUUUUGCUUCCACCUAAGUGGAUUAUAUUAAAAUUUAAUAAAGGAAAAGUGGCUCGUGAUGGUUUUUAUUCUGAAGCGAUAGGAGUGGGGCUUUCACAGUACUGGCAGGAGGGACACCCCUGAGAUUGCAGUGGACAGACAGACUGGGCUGAGGCAUGGGGAUGGAAAGAGCUUCCCUGUAAGACACAUGGCUUGUCCCAUCAUAGACAAUGAUGGCUGAAAGGGACCUCAAGAGGUCACCUGGUCUAGUCCAACCUUCUGCUUAGAACAGGCCCACCCACAACUAUAUCAUUUAAGGGACGAGUACUGGCCGGGAAGACCCCCUUGAGCCGGGGACAGGCCAAGCACCAGUGCUGUUGUAGUAGCUCUCUCUGUACCCCUAUGCCCAGGAGAUCCGUCUGGGCCCUUGCAGUUGAGCCAUCUGGGACAAGGAUGGUGCCUGGGAUCCACAGGUGCAAGGUGAUAAAUGGCGUCUAAUGGCCAGGGAGGGAUUAGCAUCCCCUGGGCCCUGCAGAGCACACCCCUGCAGGGGGAAGGCAUUUCCGGUCCAGGCUGGGCCUGGCACACACGUAUUCAUUAGAGCUGUCACGGCAGGGGGCUGAUGGUCUCUGACUUCCCCCGGCAGGUCCCCAGGCAGCCCUUGUCCUGGUAACAUCUGAAUUCCUCUGUGCUUGCACUUCCUGACCUCUUGAAUACCCUCGUUCCUCCUGCCAAGCUCAGCCGGGAGCCGCUGGCCCCUGUGGGCAGGGAGCAGGGGCAGAGUUGCGUGAAGGGGCUGAUCUCAGCUCUGGGGGGUUCAGAGAGACUCCGCGGGUCCGAGCCAGAGACCUGUUUGCCUGGGGAAGCCGAGCUAGUCUGGAUUCCCACCGUGGCCUGGGCACCGCUCCUCCUCGUGCUGCUCACACGCUGCUCGGGUACCCCGAAGGGGAGGGUCAGCCACAUCCUGGGCUUUAUGAAUCCCUGGCUCUCUUCCCACAGGUGUUUCUUUUUGGUUUCUUGCCCUUUGGUCCUGCCCUGUCUGCCACAAAACCAGAGGCUCAGUGAGGAUAUGAGAUUAAUUCCUGUCAUUCUCCCAGGUUCCCUCUCGCAGCCCCCACUGACUCAGGCGCCCGCAAAGUCCGUGACUCUGGGCAGCACUGCCAGUCUCUCUCGGACACUGAGCGGUGAGCACAGGCACUGCUGCGUCCACUGGGACCAACAAAACCAGGGCCAGGCCCCACAAUUUCUCUGGCACAGCGAGGGGAUCGAAGGGAAUGGAGUCCCAGACCGAUUCACCGUUUCCAACUCCAGCGCCAUACGCUGUUUAACCACCACCAAUGUCCCUGGGGAAGAUGAGGCCAUUUCCAGGUGUGGUGCAGGUUACAAGAUUGGAGGUAGUUAUGGGUAUGUCAGCGUGACACAGUCAGAUGAGGACCUGAGACAAAAACCUCCCUUGGGCUCGACGGGGCUCUGUGUGGCUUGGAUCUGUGCUCCAUGACGAGUUUGCAUGUCAGCAAGCUCUGCUAGCCCCUCGAGUAGCUACUCGCAGUCUAACAGGCCCUUCCUUGUCCUGCUCUGUCCUCGUACUCUUGGACAGGCACAGCAGCUUUUCACUGUUUCCCCGCCUAGCAGCUCUCUGCCCUUGACUGUCAAACAUAUAUUCCUCCUCUUCUCUUUUCGUAGAAAGGACUAAAGGUUCAGAGACACCUUUCCACACCCACUAUUAGCAAAUGAAGGACGGGAAUGCGUGAUACACAAACCCAGCACAGAUUCAGGAAAAAUGUGUGGUUGCAGCCUUCUCCCCUCUGAUUGCUUGACAGAUGUGUGGUGCCCCCUUCAGUGGGAAUCCCUUUAUUUAAACAAAGAGCUAAACCCACACACCCAUUGAUGAGGAAGGGCAAUCCCAGUUUCGGAUUAAGGACUAUGCAGUGUCAUCCCUAAUCACACAUAAUCCCAUUUGUAUCCAGCCUUUGUCCCACAUCCCUGCUCAGAGGUUCAUAAAAGAGAAAGGAAUUCUCGUUUGGGAAGAAACGAGUGACCUCUCCUCUUCUACUGUCCUCCUCGUGCUGUCUGCCGGGUCCCAUCUUGUCCUGCUCUGUCAUUACAUCCUUUGCCAAGGGGCAAAACAACUUGUCAGUGCUUCCCCUUAGCAGUUCUCUGCUGUACGUGGUGGAGACUCAUUCAUCCCCUCCUCUGUUGCCUGCCAAGGUCUGUAUGCUUGGGAGCCCCUCUGCUCACACAGCGUUCAGAAGCUCAGGGUGGCAUCUCGGGUAAAGGACCAAUCUCCAUCAGGUGUCAUUUCAACUCAAAACUGAUUUCUCUUGAGACCCCUUGGGUGCAUGUGCCCUUCUUUGCAGGGUGAGAGCUUUCUGUAGACAAAGCAUUGGACCCCAUGGACGUCCUGAUGAGGAUGGGAAAUCAGAACAAUGACUACAUAGCGAUGUGGAGCGUCAUCUUGGGUCACGGGUGCUUCCAUCCUGACACUCGAUUACUUUUGCAGACCUUCCUGGGAUGAACAGAGAAAUGGGGAGCCCGCUGUACGAGAGGAGAGUAAAGGAACUGCCUUGUCCUACCUCAUGAGAAGCAGACCGAGAGUGGAGAUGACUGCUCUCUGCAAUUACAUCCGAGAGAGCCAAGAGCCACGCAAAAGAAAAGAACAGUGCCAGCUCCAGAAAAAGUGAGUAAAUAGGAGUCCCACAUAGAAACAGGCUGAAGCUGAGAAGAAGGGUUGUAAUCAUCAGAGCAGGAGGCUCUGGAGCAGGUUCCCCGUGGGAGGGAACAACUCAUUUGAAGAAGCAGAUUGACAGAUUUCAGCAUGGGCUGAUAUGUGGGAUUGCCUGUACUGGGAAGGGUGUGGGCACGAGCCAGGAGGUCCUGUCCAGGCCCAUGUUGCCCUGUCUGCUCCAGUCCAUCUUCAGAGAAAGAUGACCAACCCGUUGCACACGGAAGAGGCCACGAGAGGUCAUUGCUGUCACACAAAUCCCUUCCCUGCCCAGAGUGCAGCUGCCUGCUCUGUGCCCGUGUGUCACACAGGAGGAAACUGGUCCGGGGGGCAGUGCUGGAGGCGCUAGGG